CCGCAUGGUGCAGGGGUAAAAACUCCGGUGGUGUGAGAUGGGCCCGCGUCUGAUUAGGUAGUUGGUGAGGUAACGGCUCACCAAGCCGACGAUCAGUAGCCGACCUGAGAGGGUGACCGGCCACAUUGGGACUGAGACACGGCCCAAACUCCUACGGGAGGCAGCAGUGGGGAAUAUUGCACAAUGGGGGAAACCCUGAUGCAGCGACGCCGCGUGAGCGAUGAAGUAUUUCGGUAUGUAAAGCUCUAUCAGCAGGGAAGAAACUGACGGUACCUGACUAAGAAGCACCGGCUAAAUACGUGCCAGCAGCCGCGGUAAUACGUAUGGUGCAAGCGUUAUCCGGAUUUACUGGGUGUAAAGGGAGCGUAGACGGACUUGCAAGUCUGAAGUGAAAGCCCGGGGCUCAACCCCGGGACUGCUUUGGAAACUGUUUAUCUAGAGUGCUGGAGAGGUAAGUGGAAUUCCUAGUGUAGCGGUGAAAUGCGUAGAUAUUAGGAGGAACACCAGUGGCGAAGGCGGCUUACUGGACAGUAACUGACGUUGAGGCUCGAAAGCGUGGGGAGCAAACAGGAUUAGAUACCCUGGUAGUCCACGCCGUAAACGAUGACUACUAGGUGUCGGGUGGCAAAGCCAUUCGGUGCCGCAGCAAA
Molecule: ribosomal RNA, 650 nt
Filed under: uncultured bacterium
Lineage: Bacteria
Description: bacterial SSU rRNA
Rfam family: Bacterial small subunit ribosomal RNA
Source: RNAcentral